RNAcentral lists this ribosomal RNA (492 nucleotides) under uncultured bacterium. RNAcentral describes it as "partial 16S ribosomal RNA". It matches the Rfam family "Bacterial small subunit ribosomal RNA", at positions 29 to 507 of the family's 1533-position model. The record is from RNAcentral.
AGUGAACGCUGGCGGUAGGCCUAACACAUGCAAGUCGAACGGCAGCACAGUAAGAGCUUGCUCUUACGGGUGGCGAGUGGCGGACGGGUGAGGAAUACAUCGGAAUCUACUUUUUCGUGGGGGAUAACGUAGGGAAACUUACGCUAAUACCGCAUACGACCUACGGGUGAAAGCAGGGGAUCUUCGGACCUUGCGCGAUUGAAUGAGCCGAUGUCGGAUUAGCUAGUUGGCGGGGUAAAGGCCCACCAAGGCGACGAUCCGUAGCUGGUCUGAAAGGAUGAUCAGCCACACUAGAACUGAGACACGGUCCAGACUCCUACGGGAGGCAGCAGUGGGGAAUAUUGGACAAUGGGCGCAAGCCUGAUCCAGCCAUACCGCGUGGGUGAAGAAGGCCUUCGGGUUGUAAAGCCCUUUUGUUGGGAAAGAAAAGCAGCAGGUUAAUACCCCGCUGUUCUGACGGUACCCAAAGAAUAAGCACCGGCUAACUUCGUG